UGAUAUGCCAAUCGAACUCGGAGAUAGCUGGUUCUCCCCGAAAUAGCUUUAGGGCUAGCGUCAUGCGUUUAGUACCGGAGGUACAGCACUGAAUGGGCUAUGGGGCUUACAGCUUACAGAACCCAAUCAAACUCGGAAUGCCGGUACUCCAUAGCAUGGCAGUCGGACUCCGGGAGAUGAGUUUCGGGGUCGAAAGGGAAACAGCCCAGACCAUCGGCUAAGGUCCUCAAAUCUAUGCUAAGUGGGAAACGAGGUGAGGUUACUUAAACAACCAGGAGGUUGGCUUAGAAGCAGCCACCCUUUAAAAAGUGCGUAACAGCUUACUGGUCUAGUGACUUCGCGCGGAAAACUUAACGGGGCUAAGCAUAGUACCGAAGCCAUGGGUCUCAACAUUUGUUGGGGCAGUAGGGGAGCGUUCUGUCAGCGGUGAAGGUCGAUCGUAAGGGCGACUGGAGCGGACAGAAGUGAGAAUGCAGGCAUGAGUAGCGUACAAAUAUGUGAGAACCAUAUUCGCCGUAUAUCUAAGGUUUCCGACGCCAGGUCAUUCCGCGUCGGGUUAGUCGAGUCCUUAGCCGAGGCCGAGAGGCGUAGGUGAUGGACAUCCGGUCAACAUUCCGGAACCGCUAGAAAGUGCGAUGGGAGGACGCAACGAGGUAGGCCAGCCCAUUAUUGGAUUUGGGUGCGAUCCAUCUAGGCGUUGAGAUUGGCAGGUAAAUCCGCCAGUUGAGCUGAGGUGAGAGCGAGCCGUAAGGCAUAAGUGGUUGAGCCUUGUUGCCAAGAAAAGUCUCUAAGCAUAACUUUCUAGUGCUCGUACCGCAAACCGACACUGGUAGAUGGGUAGAGUAUACCAAGGCGAACGGGAGAACUCUCGUUAAGGAAUUAGGCAACAUGACCUCGUAACUUCGGGAGAAGAGGUACCCUCCUUUGUGUUAAAGCUUCGGAGGGUCGCAGUGAAAUGGCUCUGGUGACUGGUUAACAAAACCACAGGUCUCUGCUAAGCCGUAAGGCGAUGUAUAGGGGCUGACGCGUGCCCAGUGCCGGAAGGUUAAAGGGAGAGGUUAGCGCAAGCGAAGCUUUGAACUGAAGCCCCGGUGAACGGCGGCCGUAACUAUAACGGUCCUAAGGUAGCGAAAUUCCUUGUCGGGUAAGUUCCGACCCGCACGAAAGGCGUAACGAUCUGGGCACUGUCUCAACGAGAGACUCGGUGAAAUUAUAGUACCUGUGAAGAUGCAGGUUACCCGCGACAGGACGGAAAGACCCCGUGGAGCUUUACUGUAGCCUGAUAUUGAAUUUUGGCACAACUUGUACAGGAUAGGUAGGAGCCUGAGAUUCCGGAGCGCCAGCUUCGGAGGAGGCGUCAGUGGGAUACUACCCUGGUUGUGUUGAACUUCUAACCCUUGCCCCUUAUCGGGGUAGGAGACAGUGUCAGGCGGGCAGUUUGACUGGGGCGGUCGCCUCCUAAAGUGUAACGGAGGCGCCCAAAGGUUCCCUCAGAAUGGUUGGAAAUCAUUCGUAGAGUGUAAAGGCAGAAGGGAGCUUGACUGCGAGACCUACAAGUCGAGCAGGGUCGA
Molecule: ribosomal RNA, 1571 nt
Filed under: permafrost metagenome
Description: bacterial LSU rRNA
Rfam family: Bacterial large subunit ribosomal RNA
Source: RNAcentral